This 483-nucleotide ribosomal RNA is filed under the name uncultured bacterium. RNAcentral's name for it is "partial 16S ribosomal RNA". It matches the Rfam family "Bacterial small subunit ribosomal RNA", at positions 30 to 507 of the family's 1533-position model. The record is from RNAcentral.
UUGCACGCUGGCGGCAGGCCUCACCCCUGCAGGUCGAGCGGAUGAAGGGAGCUUGCUCCUGGAUUCAGCGGCGGACGGGUGAGUAAUGCCUAGGAAUCUGCCUGGUAGUGGGGGAUAACGUCCGGAAACGGGCGCUAAUACCGCAUACGUCCUGAGGGAGAAAGUGGGGGAUCUUCGGACCUCACGCUAUCAGAUGAGCCUAGGUCGGAUUAGCUAGUUGGUGGGGUAAAGGCCUACCAAGGCGACGAUCCGUAACUGGUCUGAGAGGAUGAUCAGUCACACUGGAACUGAGACACGGUCCAGACUCCUACGGGAGGCAGCAGUGGGGAAUAUUGGACAAUGGGCGAAAGCCUGAUCCAGCCAUGCCGCGUGUGUGAAGAAGGUCUUCGGAUUGUAAAGCACUUUAAGUUGGGAGGAAGGGCAGUAAGUUAAUACCUUGCUGUUUUGACGUUACCAACAGAAUAAGCACCGGCUAACUUCGUG